RNAcentral lists this ribosomal RNA (431 nucleotides) under uncultured bacterium. Its description in RNAcentral is "bacterial SSU rRNA". It matches the Rfam family "Bacterial small subunit ribosomal RNA", at positions 354 to 776 of the family's 1533-position model. The record is from RNAcentral.
GUCGGGAAUAUUGGGCAAUGGGCGCAAGCCUGACCCAGCAACUCCGCGUGAGGGAUGAAGGCCCUCGGGUCGUAAACCUCUGUCGGGAGGGAAGAAAGGGUCGUAGGUCAAUAUCCUAUGGCAUUGACGGUACCUCCAAAGGAAGCUCCGGCUAACUCCGUGCCAGCAGCCGCGGUAAUACGGAGGGAGCAAGCGUUGUUCGGAAUUAUUGGGCGUAAAGCGGGUGUAGGCGGCUCGGCAAGUCGGGUGUGAAAGCCCAGGGCCCAACCCUGGAACUGCACUCGAAACUGCUGAGCUAGAGUCCCGGAGAGGGUGGCGGAAUUCCCGGUGUAGAGGUGAAAUUCGUAGAUAUCGGGAGGAACACCAGUGGCGAAGGCGGCCACCUGGACGGUGACUGACGCUCAGACCCGAAAGCGUGGGGAGCAAACAGG